CGAGUGAAGCGGUAACAGCUCAAAUUUGAAAUCUGGCUCCUACGGAGUCCGAGUUGUAAUUUGUAGAAGAUGCUUUGGGAGGUAGGGCCGGCCUAAGUUCCUUGGAACAGGACAUCAGAGAGGGUGAGAAUCCCGUAUGUGGCCGUGGCCUACGCCCGUGUAAAGCUCUUUCGACGAGUCGAGUUGUUUGGGAAUGCAGCUCAAAAUGGGUGGUAAAUUUCAUCUAAAGCUAAAUAUUGGCCAGAGACCGAUAGCGCACAAGUAGAGUGAUCGAAAGAUGAAAAGCACUUUGGAAAGAGAGUUAAACAGUACGUGAAAUUGUUGAAAGGGAAGCGCUUGCAACCAGACUUGGGUGUCGUGGAUCAUCCGAGGUUCUCCUCGGUGCACUCGACGACGCGCAGGCCAGCAUCGGUUUGGGUGGUUGGAGAAAGGCUCUAGGAACGUAGCUCUCUUCGGGGAGUGUUAUAGCCUAGGGCGCAAUGCAGCCCAUCCGGACCGAGGACCGCGCCUUCGGGCUAGGAUGCUGGCGUAAUGGUUGUAAGCGACCCGUCUUGAAACACGGACCAAGGAGUCUAACAUCUAUGCGAGUGUUUGGGCGUUAAACCCAUACGCGGAAUGAAAGUGAACGUAGGUGAGAACCCGUUAGGGUGCAUCAUCGACCGAUCCUGAUGUCUUCGGAUGGAUUUGAGUAAGAGCA
RNAcentral lists this ribosomal RNA (697 nucleotides) under Golovinomyces artemisiae. RNAcentral describes it as "partial large subunit ribosomal RNA". It matches the Rfam family "Eukaryotic large subunit ribosomal RNA", at positions 90 to 802 of the family's 3401-position model. Lineage: Eukaryota; Fungi; Ascomycota; Leotiomycetes; Helotiales; Erysiphaceae. The record is from RNAcentral.